CUAUACAUGCAGUCGAGCGCGAGAGUGAGGAGCUUGCUCCUCAUGAUCGAGCGGCGGACGGGUGAGUAACACGUAGGCAACCUACCCUUGAGAUUGGGAUAACUACCGGAAACGGUAGCUAAUACCGGAUACGACUUUACUGCAUAAGCAGUUCAGUUAAAAGGCGGAUUUAUCUGCCGCUCAUGGAUGGGCCUGCGGUGCAUUAGCUAGUUGGUGAGGUAGUGGCUCACCAAGGCGACGAUGCAUAGCCGACCUGAGAGGGUGAUCGGCCACACUGGGACUGAGACACGGCCCAGACUCCUACGGGAGGCAGCAGUAGGGAAUCUUCCGCAAUGGACGAAAGUCUGACGGAGCAACGCCGCGCGAGUGAUGAAGGGUUUCGGCUCGUAAAACUCUGUUGUUAAGGAAGAACACUUGAGGUAGUAACUGGCCUUGAGAUGACGGUACUUAACCAGAAAGCCACGGCUAACUACGUGCCAGCAGCCGCGGUAAUACGUAGGUGGCAAGCGUUAUCCGGAAUUAUUGGGCGUAAAGCGCGCGUAGGCGGUAAAAUAAGUCUGAUGUGAAAGCCCCCGGCUCAACCGGGGAGGGUCAUUGGAAACUGUUUUACUUGAGUACAGAAGAGGAGAGUGGAAUUCCAUGUGUAGCGGUGAAAUGCGCAGAGAUAUGGAGGAACACCAGUGGCGAAGGCGGCUCUCUGGUCUGUAACUGACGCUGAGGUGCGAAAGCGUGGGGAUCAAACAGGAUUAGAUACCCUGGUAGUCCACGCCGUAAACGAUGAGUGCUAAGUG
RNAcentral lists this ribosomal RNA (791 nucleotides) under uncultured bacterium. RNAcentral describes it as "bacterial SSU rRNA". It matches the Rfam family "Bacterial small subunit ribosomal RNA", at positions 49 to 822 of the family's 1533-position model. The record is from RNAcentral.